This 246-nucleotide ribosomal RNA is filed under the name uncultured cyanobacterium. Its description in RNAcentral is "partial 16S ribosomal RNA". It matches the Rfam family "Bacterial small subunit ribosomal RNA", at positions 29 to 301 of the family's 1533-position model. The record is from RNAcentral. Lineage: Bacteria; Bacillati; Cyanobacteriota.
AACGAACGCUGGCGGCAGGCCUAACACAUGCAAGUCGAACGAAAGCUUUUAGCUUAAGUGGCGGACGGGUGAGUAAUACGUAAGAAUUUGCCUUUAGGAGGGGGAUAACAGCUGGAAACGGUUGCUAAUACCCCAUAUGCUUUUAAGUGAAAUGGGUUUCCGCCUAAAGAAAAGCUUACGGCUGAUUAGCUUGUUGGUAAGGUAAUGGCUUACCAAGGCGACAAUCAGUAUCUGGUUUGAGAGGAU